GCGGGGAGGAGAUGACACUUGUUGAAGAUGAAACAAAGGAAUAUUCUACACGCACCUACUUGGUUUCGUGACAGAAUCGACGAACCUCGAUGGACCUAGCUAGAGUCUUGGUUCCAGCGCGUCCAGAUUCGCGAGCAACGGACAUGCCGUAACGUGCAUAUAUAUCCACGCAUGCUUCAUCGUACGUACGUUUUGGCCAUUGCAUGCAUGCGUCAGUUUCAAUUCCAAGUCGUUCUCAUUUCUCAGGCUGCUACCAAAAAUUACAAAAGUUUAAGCAAAUUUCAUUUCUUCUAUCACGGGGAGCGAAAAAAGGAAAAAAAAAAGGUGCACCGAUCUAGAGAUGUUGAAUGGUUCUCUCAAACAAUUAGUCUCCUCUAUCGGCACCAUCAGAUACGGCUGCUAAUGGUGAUCAGCAUGACCACCCCACCUGAUGGGCUCUGAAAACCAAAAGCUCAACAGCUGGUCAUGCCAUCCUGGUCAACCAGGAAAAGAGAUUAAGAUUACUUCUUCACGUACAUGCAUGAUCCCGGUCAACGGGUCAACAUCCAUUUCAAACAUCCCGGAUGCAAAAUAUAUUCCUGCGUGGUGAAGCUUCCAGAGUGGCGGACGAAUCGACCAAGUAAGUUAACCGCAUACACGAAUGCAAUG
RNAcentral lists this long non-coding RNA (648 nucleotides) under Brachypodium distachyon (stiff brome). Its description in RNAcentral is "long non-coding RNA (BDIS_LNC005116)". Lineage: Eukaryota; Viridiplantae; Streptophyta; Magnoliopsida; Poales; Poaceae. The record is from RNAcentral.